Molecule: non-coding RNA, 5698 nt
Organism: Taeniopygia guttata (zebra finch)
Lineage: Eukaryota; Metazoa; Chordata; Aves; Passeriformes; Estrildidae
Source: RefSeq, a predicted model, not a curated record
UACAAUCCAUAAAAAGCAGGAGCACUUCUCCAUAGUGGCAAAGUCCAUAUUUGAGACAUGGAUGAUGUUAUUUUUUAAAGUGGUGCCUACUCACAAUGGCCUGUUCACUGUUAUGUUUCUAUGGUGAAUUUCUUUCUGGUUUCAGGAAAAUUUGAGCCCCUUUACACAUUGCCAGCUUUUAAAGGAAAGGCAAAACUUCCCCUUCGGUGUAAUUAAUAUGUUUUUAUUACUUGUGGUACAAAUAAGAGGGGUGUCCCAUGAUGUUAAUGGAAACAGGGAGUUCUCUUAACUCUGCUUCAACCACUUGUAGAGGUUUUCUCCUCCAGCCCUCCACUGUGCUUUUGCAGGCAGCAGUGACCACAGUAUCCAUCUGUGUUGGAUUUUAAUGAGAGAGCAAUGAAGAAUACAGAAAAAAACCCUGAAUUAAUAAAAAAUUGAUCAGGUGUCAGUUCUUAGGCUAAUUCAGGUGGUGAGGGACCUCAGGAGGUCACCUCAGUCAGUCUCCAGCCCAAGCUGUUCUGUCAGUGUUUAUAAGACUUCUUAUUUCAGCACUCUAAAGUUCUGAACCUGGUUCUAACUCUACAUUCACUGAAGCUGUGGGGAUCUGGGUCCAUUUUAGUAGUUAGCAUUUCUUAAAUGUCUGUCCAAUCUGCCUGUGAAGGUUGCAUUCAAUUCCCUGUAACCUUUGAAGAGUUUUUAUUUGGUAUAGAUACAGCAAAGACAGACUUGUCUUCUCACUCAGCUCUGAAAGCUUUCAUUUUGUUUGACAACAUUUAUACUGAGCUUGGCUCAUUCUCUCACAAGGAGAAAGUAUGCAAACUUUACAUAGAAGUGGGCAGAAAAUUUGGCUACACUUGUUUGCUAUAGCAAACACCAACUCACAGAAAGGCAAACAUUAUACUGAUUUUGUUCAAACUUGGAGAAAACAUGUCUGGUGCCCAGUAUGGAAUUUUGGAUCAAAAUGACAAAGGAAAAUGCAGAAGCAACUGCAGUUUGAGACCCAGAGUAUUUAUAUGGAUGCUGCCUAUUUGCAUUUCUCAUCAUGUUUUAUUGUUUACUCCCACCAUCUCUCUCUCAGCCCUAUGAAUCAUACUUUCUCCAGGUGUAACACUUUUGAAAUGUCAAAUUUUUGUGGCUUGAAAGAAAAAAAAAAAAACCUCAUCAUUUCAAUCUGUACCACAUCUAGAUGUGAAACCUCAUCUUUCAUGGGCUGAAGUCCUGCUUCCAGAGAAGCAGCAUGUGGCUGGGCUGGUUUGAUGACCCUGUGCCAUCCCUGGAAUACAGUGGAGGAGACUGCUUAGAACAUUUUGUGCCACUCUGGAGUGAAUUCCUCAGCCAGGCUCUGCUCUGACACAUUUCCAUCCAUCCCCUGCAAUGCAUGUGGCAGCAGUAUUCCAUCUGUUUCUAAUGAGGCAUAGCGGGGGAGGAAAUCUUAUGCAUAAACAUCUCCCACAUCACUUAUGAUUCCAUUGAAGAACAUCUCUGCAACAGUAUUUGUUUGUGACAAAGAUUUUUAGCUAUUUGUUUAUUUUAAUACCUGUGGAUGUCAAACAGAAGAUAUUAGCCAGUUCCUAAACCUGGCAAAUUCCUUGGGUGAAAUUUUUCCUGUAUUUUGAGAGCCAAUUCCAGCACAAAUUCUUGUUGUAAAGGUCUUGCCCAUAUUUUCCAAAGUAUAGAUUAUAAUUUUGCAUGUACCUGUUCUAUUUUAGGGGUUAGGCAGUUGUAGCUAGAUUUAACUCUAAACAAAGAGCAAACUGUUCUUUAUUUAGCUCCAAUUAUAAACAUGUUAUAGCAAAAUAUAAAUGGAGAGCGAAACAAAGGAAUGAAAACUGCCACUUUGCAGAGGCAUUCUUUUAAAAUGUACAUUUCUUUGUAGGGAAGAGCACUGCAGUGUUUUUUUUUAGAGACAAAUAGUUUACUGUGAUGUGUAUGAAAUAGAAUUUUGAUAGACAGAAUAAGCUGCAAUCCAGUUCUAAACUAUAGAUUUUCAAGCAGAUUGAUGCAACAAAUUGUUAGCAAAUAGCAGUUUGCAAUUUGAUGCUAAUUAGACAUAAGGCAAAUAUGUGCCAUGACAAAUUAGCAGCAAACCAUACUGAAAAGGAUUAGCAAGAGCUGGCACAGAGACUGCUCGAUUUUGCAUACUUCCUUGUCUUAGUCUAGGAGGUCUGAGCCAGUUUUCCUUCUCUGUAAAUAAGAAACCAGAGCAGAGAUCACAGGCAUGCUAGAAUGCCUUUAAUUGCAUAUUUGAAAUGUUUUAACUCUCUCUUAAUCCCAUGGAGGCUUUUCUCCAUACCACCAGCUUUAUUAUCCUGGGAGAUGAUCAAGUACUUUAUCCAUUUAAUAUUAUAACUAAAUACAUUAUGAGGUAAGUAACUCACAGGGUUAUUUACUUUAGCAAGUCUAUUGUACUUAUAGAUUUAAGAAAAAGCCCCAUUCUUAUUCAAAACACCUUUGCUUAAUGUCCUGAAAACGUGUUUUUCAGCAGAUUUAAUUAUUCAUUUCCUUAAUAAAUUUAUUUUUGCUAGAGAAUUAUCACAUUUCUUUAUUAAUGUGCACAAUGCCAUUGUAGUAGUUAGUGUGGAUCAAACUCAUCACCAUAUCCAGACGAGAUAAUGCAGUUUUGUUUUCAAACCAGAGAGAAGCAGGAGGUGAUUUUUAAGUCAGUUCUUCAGACUUACACCUGAAUACCAGCACACCUAUAAGUAUGACUUUAGAACUAAAGCAAAAACUACUCUUGAAUCUUUGAAGGGUGAUGUAAUUUCACUAGGAUCAAGAAUGCUAAGGAAAAAUCACAGUAAAAAUACCUGUUUGUUAAAUUUAAGCAGCUUAUUUUUUAUGUGCCUAUUUUUUUGUUUACUUUUUUAAAAUUAAGAGUUUCUGAGGUAAACCAUCACAUUCCCUAAGCUUUCUACUCAUAUUUACUGGUGUGUACUUCAGUUUGGCUAUGUAAAAUGACAUGUUUAUACUUCAAGGAAUCAUUGGGUAGAUCAGAGGUUCUUCAGUACAGUUCCUCAUUCAAAUCUGACUUUCUAGGGCAUACAAGACAUUUGACUUACUAGGCUGAUGGUUGUUGUCUAAAAUUAUAUAUAUAUAUUAUAUUCCCAGCAUUCCUAUGUCUAUAUAUGGAUCAAAAAGAUUGUUAGAAAUAGUUCAAAGGUGCUAAAACAUUAUGUAGUUAGAUGUAAACACACAUUUCUGUUACCAAAAUAAAUGAAGUGGGAAAAUAAAAGCAUAUUAUGCAUAAAAGAUUGUUCUUUCAUAAGUCUUAGAGAGAAUUCCUCAGACAAUUUAAACCACAAUCAGUAACAAGUUUUGCCACAUCACUGUCUUCCCACACAAACAGUAUGAUAAUACACUAUUAAUGAUUUACAAAAAGGUGAUGAAAGUAGUUGUGCUGUUUAAAAAGAAAAAAGUGAAAACUCCAGGCUUUCCCUGCAGUUUCUGAAGGGAUCUCUAUAUUAUUCACAUGAAAAGCACUGUCCUGUAAAAGCUUCUGUGUGCACUGAGGCCUGGAAAAGAUGUUUCUGGUGUUGCCAGGCUGUCUCACUCAGUGUUUGCCUGCUCCCUUUUGCCAAUGUUUUUGCCACAUCACAUCAGAAAUUUGGGCAAUGAUCUUUAUGCUGGUGCAAAAUCUUAGAAAACUGAAUUGACUGCCCUCUGGGCACAAAGCUUUAUUUCCUUUUUGCUGUCCCUGCACAGACUCAUGGUGAAUUCUUGGUAAGCAGUUAUUUACCUGUAUUGAAAGAGUGUAGCAAGCCAUCAGCAGGUAAAUAUAGGCUGAAAAUUGUAAUAGUUAAAAGGGAUGUUGUUAAAAAUUUUAGGAUUACAUGCAACAUAUAAAUAGUUGUAAUUUCCAAAGGGCAAAUCAUUUCUAGUCAAGCCUUUCCACAUGGUAUCUUCCCUGACAAAAGCAUCACACAUUUUCUGCCCAUAAUGUUUCUCCCAAACACCCCCACUGCUCAAUUCAAUGACAGCUUUCCUGGCAGUGCCUGAGCAGAUUUUACAUUUUCCUGUAGAUGCAGUGUCAGCCCAGAUAGUGCCUGGGAGAGCUUUGCUGCUCGUGGCUGCUGUGGCAAAUCUUUGUGCUGCAGGACAGAUGUUCUGCACCGUGCAGGGGAUCUGGGUCAUGCAGCACCCACAGACUUGGAGCAAGUUGGAUGUUGGGAAUCUCCACUGGCCACAGCCACCUCCCAGUUCCAGGCCUUUUCACCAGCUAUCAUGGGAUUAAUAAGAUACAUUGUCCUCAGGAAAAUAUGUGCACUCAUGGAGAACCUCAUUGACAUUGCUGCAGAGAGACUUAAAACAUGUGCUAUCAAGGUGUGCCAAGAUAAGCCCAUGGGACUGUUAGAAAAAUCCAUAAUGAAAACAUCUGGAAACACCUCAGACUUCCACAGACUUGUCAGUGAUUAAUCCAAAGAUGGAACUUCAGAAAAAAAAGUGAAUACAGAAGAAAUCACAGCAGUUCAAGUAAAGACAUUUCCCUGCUGAAGCAGCUUAUCUGAUCAUGGCAUUAUUUCCGAAACUUGGAAGACAAAAGAGGAGGAGGCUGAGAACGUACUGAGGUUCACAGUGACAGGAAAAAAGUAAUGCUCAAACUGGAACUGGGGAGUAUCAGCCUGGAUUCAAGGAAAAAUAAAUUUUCUAAGAGGGCAAUUACCCUUUGGACCUCCAGAGUUGUGCACUCUCCAGUUUAUAUAGCUUUUCAAGACCCAAAUGGACAAAGCUGUGAGAAAUCUGAUCUGAGUUCUGGACUGACUUUGCUUUGAGCAACAGAUUGGUCUGAAGGUCCAGCAAGGUCCCUUCCAACUUGAGGGAAGCCACAGUUCUGUGGGAGCAUUGCUGGGGCUCUCUGCUAUAGCUUUAGUGAAUAUGUGUAGAGUGAUAAAGGUGAUCAGGUUUCUGGAGCAGCUUCCAUGUGAUGAAGGAGAUUUGACACUCUUCAGCCUGGAGUAGAAUCAACUGAGGGAGAAUUUGAUCGAGAUCUACAGGACUGGGAAUGACAUGAAAAAGUUCAAUGAGAGCCACUUGUGAAUUUCACUUCCUUUCCAAGGAAAAAGGUCAGGAAGAAAAGAGCUAUUGAUGAGGUAAGGUGUAUAUGCUAUACCUACACUUUUUCUUAAAUACCUGCUUUUUUCCUGGUAAUAUUUUAUUGCCGUCUCCUAUUCCCUGCAUAUGGAGAAUAGAUCUUGAAACAAAUAAGUUCACUCUGAUGUAGGGCUAGUGAGAAAUAUCUCCAAAUCUUGAUCUAGACCAUUUGUUUUGUAUUCCAACAUAUCAAGCAUACAAUUACUGUAACUAAAGUUAUAAACCUCAUAUGUGAGAGUGUUUUUAUGGGUCACUUAGGAUAAACUACUUAUACAAGCGCAAGUGCUUGUGUAGGCCCUUUUCUACAUGCAUCAGAAGGUGAACUCAGUUUGAACAAUGAAAGAGAGCGCCCUGCACUCCAGCCCUCUCUCAAAUGGAUAAUUCUGGUGAUCCUUCUGACAGCCAUGCUUUAGAUUUUGAUUUAUGUUCUUCUAAAGCUAAAAUCAAAGAUUCCAUCUAGUGCUAUUUUAUGGCAGCUGAGAUGAUGAAUGGCGGAGUCUUUCAGCCAAACGAAGCUGCUGUGUCUUUGCCCUGGAUUUUAAUUGCUAAAGUAGCCAGUCAUUGCUCAGAAUUCAAUGGUAAGCAGACUUUAGAAACUGUGGAGAUGGCCCUC